Small nucleolar RNA from Tachyglossus aculeatus (Australian echidna), 138 nucleotides. The record is from RefSeq and is a predicted model, not a curated record. NCBI's taxonomy places the organism in Eukaryota, Metazoa, Chordata, Mammalia, Monotremata, Tachyglossidae.
CCCCUCUUAAAGUCACAUCUGAAGAGUUUCCAGUACUCUGCCAGUCUUGGCUAUGGGAGGGAUAGUCAAGCAAAGUCAUACCCAUUCCAUUUCUAGCUUAGGCAGUAGCUAGGGAGUGGAAGUUAAUCCGCUACAAGU